AUGGCCACCGCCCUCACGUUGCCGUCCCCGCUCGCUUUUUCUGGAGCGGUCGACACGUCUCGCCUCGGGCUCCGCCACGUAAAUAUCUGCCGCCACUACCUGCCUAUCAUGCCCCGGCGGCCUCAAAGUCCACUUAUCAUCACAGCUGUACCGCAGGGAGAAGCGAGGGGCAGAGUUCGGAUCUCUAUUCCGGAGAUUUUUGUCUAG
This 207-nucleotide ribosomal RNA is filed under the name Triticum aestivum (bread wheat). RNAcentral's name for it is "partial small subunit ribosomal RNA". The record is from RNAcentral. Lineage: Eukaryota; Viridiplantae; Streptophyta; Magnoliopsida; Poales; Poaceae.